Molecule: ribosomal RNA, 1503 nt
Filed under: Leuconostoc mesenteroides
Lineage: Bacteria; Bacillati; Bacillota; Bacilli; Lactobacillales; Lactobacillaceae
Description: bacterial SSU rRNA
Rfam family: Bacterial small subunit ribosomal RNA
Source: RNAcentral
GAUGCACGCUGGCGGCGUGCCUAAUACAUGCAAGUCGAACGCACAGCGAAAGGUGCUUGCACCUUUCAAGUGAGUGGCGAACGGGUGAGUAACACGUGGACAACCUGCCUCAAGGCUGGGGAUAACAUUUGGAAACAGAUGCUAAUACCGAAUAAAACUUAGUGUCGCAUGACACAAAGUUAAAAGGCGCUUCGGCGUCACCUAGAGAUGGAUCCGCGGUGCAUUAGUUAGUUGGUGGGGUAAAGGCCUACCAAGACAAUGAUGCAUAGCCGAGUUGAGAGACUGAUCGGCCACAUUGGGACUGAGACACGGCCCAAACUCCUACGGGAGGCUGCAGUAGGGAAUCUUCCACAAUGGGCGAAAGCCUGAUGGAGCAACGCCGCGUGUGUGAUGAAGGCUUUCGGGUCGUAAAGCACUGUUGUAUGGGAAGAACAGCUAGAAUAGGAAAUGAUUUUAGUUUGACGGUACCAUACCAGAAAGGGACGGCUAAAUACGUGCCAGCAGCCGCGGUAAUACGUAUGUCCCGAGCGUUAUCCGGAUUUAUUGGGCGUAAAGCGAGCGCAGACGGUUUAUUAAGUCUGAUGUGAAAGCCCGGAGCUCAACUCCGGAAUGGCAUUGGAAACUGGUUAACUUGAGUGCAGUAGAGGUAAGUGGAACUCCAUGUGUAGCGGUGGAAUGCGUAGAUAUAUGGAAGAACACCAGUGGCGAAGGCGGCUUACUGGACUGCAACUGACGUUGAGGCUCGAAAGUGUGGGUAGCAAACAGGAUUAGAUACCCUGGUAGUCCACACCGUAAACGAUGAACACUAGGUGUUAGGAGGUUUCCGCCUCUUAGUGCCGAAGCUAACGCAUUAAGUGUUCCGCCUGGGGAGUACGACCGCAAGGUUGAAACUCAAAGGAAUUGACGGGGACCCGCACAAGCGGUGGAGCAUGUGGUUUAAUUCGAAGCAACGCGAAGAACCUUACCAGGUCUUGACAUCCUUUGAAGCUUUUAGAGAUAGAAGUGUUCUCUUCGGAGACAAAGUGACAGGUGGUGCAUGGUCGUCGUCAGCUCGUGUCGUGAGAUGUUGGGUUAAGUCCCGCAACGAGCGCAACCCUUAUUGUUAGUUGCCAGCAUUCAGAUGGGCACUCUAGCGAGACUGCCGGUGACAAACCGGAGGAAGGCGGGGACGACGUCAGAUCAUCAUGCCCCUUAUGACCUGGGCUACACACGUGCUACAAUGGCGUAUACAACGAGUUGCCAACCCGCGAGGGUGAGCUAAUCUCUUAAAGUACGUCUCAGUUCGGAUUGUAGUCUGCAACUCGACUACAUGAAGUCGGAAUCGCUAGUAAUCGCGGAUCAGCACGCCGCGGUGAAUACGUUCCCGGGUCUUGUACACACCGCCCGUCACACCAUGGGAGUUUGUAAUGCCCAAAGCCGGUGGCCUAACCUUUUAGGAAGGAGCCGUCUAAGGCAGGACAGAUGACUGGGGUGAAGUCGUAACAAGGUAGCCGUAGGAGAACC